Molecule: ribosomal RNA, 536 nt
Filed under: uncultured Acidobacteriota bacterium
Lineage: Bacteria; Pseudomonadati; Acidobacteriota
Description: bacterial SSU rRNA
Rfam family: Bacterial small subunit ribosomal RNA
Source: RNAcentral
AGAGAUCAUGGCUCAGAAUCAACGCUGGCGGCGUGCCUAACACAUGCAAGUCGAACGCGGUUCGUAGCAAUACGGACUGAGUGGCGAACGGGUGAGUAACACGUGGGUGACCUACCUUCGAGUGGGGGAUAACGUCCCGAAAGGGACGCUAAUACCGCAUAACAUCCUUCCUUUGAACAGGGGGAGAUCAAAGCCGGGGAUCGCAAGACCUGGCGCUUGAUGAGGGGCCCGCGUCUGAUUAGCUAGUUGGUGAGGUAAUGGCUCACCAAGGCGACGAUCAGUAUCCGGCCUGAGAGGGCGGACGGACACACUGGGACUGAGACACGGCCCAGACUCCUACGGGAGGCAGCAGUGGGGAAUUGUUCACAAUGGGCGCAAGCCUGAUGACGCAACGCCGCGUGGAGGAUGAAGGUCUUCGGAUUGUAAACUCCUGUUGCUCGGGACGAAAUGCUCCAACCUAAUACUUUGGAGUUUGACGGUAUCGAGUGAGGAAGCCCCGGCUAACUCUGUGCCAGCAGCCGCGGUAAUACAGAGGG